ACUAUACAUAAGGCAUUUUCACUUUCAUUACCUCAUUUAACUUUUCCUGACAAUGACCUUAUAAGGUAGGUAUCCUGUGUAUGUUCAUUUUACAUGUGAUGAGAGGAAGAGGCAGAGAGAUUAGGUCCACUCAUUGAAUAGAUGUUCUCUGGGCAGGCACUGCGGAUGGAGCCCUGAACAGGGGAGGAUCAUGGGAAUUAUAGCCGAGCAGAGGGAACAGAUGUGAUGUGCAUACUGGCAGCCCAGGUUCAGUGCCUAGACUCCCUGCCCUACUCACUCUUUCGGUGGUCUCUCCAGCCUCCCAGCAUUCAGCGCCACCUCGGUGUAUUCUGACAACCCCACAUUUCUAUCUCCAGCCCAGCCCUCUCCAGACAUGAGCCUAGUCACCCUCUCCACUAGUUUUCCCAGUAGACACUUCAAACUUAAUACGUCCAAAAUUAAGCUCUUCUAUAGCUUUUCUCCACAGUCUUCUGGUCUCAGUCCGUGGCAACUCUAUCCUUCCAGCUGCUUGGAGUUAUCUUUGAUCCCUUGAGAUCUCUACAUCCCACAAUCAGACAAGAAUCUUUUUUAUUCCAUUUUUGAAAACAUAUUCAGAAUGUGACCGCUUCUCUCCACCUCCAGCACUACCCCCUGGCCUGAGAGAAUGCCCCUUCACCAGGAUCGCUACUGUGGCCUCUGUUUUGUUCAAUUAUCUCCUACAGUCUAUUCUCAACACAGCAGCCAGCACUAUCCUUGUGAAAAGUAAAUGCCCAUUUGCUGUUCAAAACCCACGAAUGGCUCCCCUUUUCUUUCACAUUAAGGCCAAAGUCCAUGAAAUGUCUGCAAAGCCCUAUACAAUUGGCCCCCUUCCAACAGAUAGGAUUUAGUUAUUAUAUUUAUUGCUUUUUCUCUGUCUGACUACAAGCUCAGCAAGGGCUCCUUUAUUGGCACAUAGUGGGCACUCUAUAAAUGUGUGCUGACUGGAUAAAAUGACUAUACAAGCAUUUAACUGCAUAGUGGUAAGUGCCAUGAACAAGAUGUACCACUGUAAGAAGAAAUUCAUGGGGAGAGAGCCAGAAUUCCAGCUGGAUCUCACAGCUCCAAACCCAGAGCUUGCUCCACUAAGACGGUGUGCAACGAAGUGCCCGGCGCAAAGUAAGUGUCUCCAUGUGCUAACUGAAUUGGGAUCUGAGGUGAUUUCAGGAAACAGGGAAAGCCCUCCCUCACCCUCUUUCAGAAGCUGCCCAGCCAUCUCUCUCUCCCUGUCUCUCUAGCCCCCGACAUGCGCCGGUGCACACACUCACACUCACCCUGCCUUCCCUGGCCUGCUUUCCUCAGGCUGGAGACUGUCUCUCUUUAAAAUGUAAACAGUUUUCAGGAGGAGGAAGAAGAGGACAGUCACCUGGACAGAGCCAGUUCACACUGGCUUUGCUAGAGAUAAGACGUAUGGGGCCAGCUCCCCCUCCGUCCUGCUGCAGGCGAGGAGAGGCCAGAUCUACUGGAUCACGCCGGACGCCUGAGGGGAGGAGGAAGAAGAAAGCCAUGGGUAGGAACGGCUGUAAACAGUAAAGACACUAAGUUCCAUCUCCCUAGUUAGGUAGGGAGCGAGGAGAUGGCCAGGGGCGCUUGAGAACUUGGAAUAAGGUUGCCCUCUGCCGGUGAACCUACCAGAUCAGCUCACAGAGGAAGAGCGCCGAGACGAACGUGCCCGACUAAACGGUAACCCGACGGCACGUAUUAACACAUCCCAGACGGGGCGCAUCGCCAAAAGGGGGUACAGGUCUGGGUAAGGGCGGGCUAUGGGGCUCACGGAAGUAUCUGGUCACAUUGAAUUGGGUCAACAACCUGUCUGAGCCAGAUGCCGCUGCACUUUUGAGUCAUCUGACGCCUCUGCUCUGAAUUUAUCGUGCUCCAGCAACUUCGCCUGCUCCAGCCUCCCUUGGGGCUUGCCUCCAGGGAGGAGAGGCACUCCUCGGGCGGAUUCCCAGAUGUGGACCCCCAGCAGUCCACUCUCGGUGUAAACUAAUAAAUGGUCGUUGGCAUGGUUAGCACCGCCCAGUGCUUCCCCGUCAGGUCAUCAGAGUGAAACAUCAAGGGUCUGCAGGGGCCCAGGGCUGCCGGAACCCACCUCCGCGCGCUGGCCCGAGUAGGGUACUGAGAGAGCGGCCCUUCCCGGGAUGGCAUCGGGCCCCACUGGGCUCUUCAGCGGGUUCAGGGCGGCCCAGAGGGUAAUGCAAAAUUGGGUAGAUGAGAGUGCAUUUUUGUGGGACGAGUCUAAGGUUUCCCUCUGCCUCGCCGGGGCUCUCAGCCCGAGGAAGGGAAAGAAUUGCGCCAGGAGGAAGGACGGGAGGUCCGGCCAGCGGGAAGGAACCCUGUUCCGCCCGGCCUCUGUCUGCUUCUGUGGGCUCAUCCUCCCCGCUGCGGCCAGUGUCACCAGAGAUGCAGGGGGAGCUGGUGGGUGUCGGGAGAGUUGGGGUUGGGGGAGGUCGCCACGGUCGGACACUCAGCCCCCGACUCACGCAGGACCCCCGGAUUGGGGCGGCCGCCGUCAGGCUCCAGCCCACUGCCCUCGCAGGGCGGGCCACCUGGAGGCGGGCCACCUGGAGGCGGGAGGAGUCGACAGCGAUCAUAGUGAAAAUUCUCUCAAACCCGGCUCCCUCCUCCUUCGAAUCCGAGCCCUGGGAAGGGGCUCCGAGGCGCCUUCGGACUCCCCAGGCAGCGGAAACCCCAAGACAGAGACCUCGGUGACCCAGACCCCCUUCUCCAAGCCGAGAAUCCCUCUGCACCACAGCUGGCGCAGGAGUGAGGAGUUGUCGAAGGAGGCGCCGGGUUUCCUCGUAGAUGGGCGUGUUAUAUACAAGGGUUUUUCCUCCGAUCGCAACCGCAAUACGACCAGCUUUCGGGACUGAGCACCCGCUCAAUCUCCCGGUACUGGAGUCGGGGUUGUUGUGAAGACUAAAUGAAAUAAUGUAUUUGAAAGUUCCUGAUGUACAGGAAGUGCUCACUUGAAGUAGCAGCAGGAAAUGCUUCUCCAAGCAAGAACAUGGCUCACAGGGCUGCGGCAUGUGAGCUCUUGCAAGAGUAUCAGAAGUCUGCAGGUGGACCUCACACCCUGCCUCAACAGCCCACCAGUGGAGCUCGGAAGAAGAGGAUGAUUGCUCCCGACACUGCUGGCAUAACAGAGGCUAUUUAGAAAGCACUUUCUAUGUUCCCAACAGUCUAAGCACUUUUCAUCCAUCUUCUCACUCUCACAACACAGUACCAGCCUGUAAUAAGUGGAUAUUUCUCCAGGGUCACAUUGUUCUGGGAAUGUGUAAGUAAACAAGCUAGGAGGCAAGGACAUUUGAUGAACUGACCAAUGAGACAAGACUUGACCGUGAGUUCCUUGAGGAUAGCUUCCUCAUCCGAUUCAGUUUUAUCUCUGCAGACAGAGGCAUGGGAAGAGUCACAGGACAGUUCCUGGGCAGUGGUUACACAGGCCCAAGGUUGAAGGGAACAAGAGGGACUUCAGGAGGCAGCUCAGGCUGCCAGUUGAGCCCAAGUCCUUGGUCCUUCUCAAAGGAAGAUUGCGUUUUCUCCAAGAUGAGCAAGGGACUAUACAGUUUUUCCAUCUGGACUGUUUUGCUGUCAAACUGUCAAGGCUGUGAGACUCCCCAAGACUACCUAGGCAUGUCCCCUCUUUGAUGGAAUCCACCUCAAGUAUUUUCAGGGUCCCCACGAUGCUUACGAUUGGUGCUACUCAAUCUUCAUUUUCCUGGAGAUGACUCUUCAGAGUCCUUUGAAAUCAAAGAACUCACAUGGGGGCUGGAAUGACUCAGGGAAGACAGGAGGUAAGCGUCUGUCCACAAUGAUGGGGUUUUCCAGCCAGGAGGUGCAACAGGUAGACCCUGUUCUACAACCUCACCUCUAGUUACAGUGGAUAAACGCGUUUAUAGAUCUGAGUCCCUUCUUAAAGAUAAGGGGUUUUUUUGGUAAUGAUUUUGCAUUUUCCCUUCUCAAAAUGGGAACUUAUGUUAUUUUGAAAUCCUUUGCCCGUUAAAAAAAAUUUUUGACAGAAAAAUAUGCAUAAAUAAAAUAUGUCAUGUAGGAAAGAUUGCAUUCCUAAUGUGCCUUUCUAUAAACUUAUUCCUUUCAAAAAGAUAAACUGUGACUUUAUGUAACAACAAAAAAUUGGCAAUGAUGUUCUUAGGCAUUUUUGUGAGAUAUGUAUAUUUUAAGGAUGUUAGCUCUUUGGCUGCCAUAUUACAUGUAUCAGUCUCCCCAACCAUAGUCUGCAAGGUGUACAGUAUAAGCACCGUAAAGGCAUGUACUUUUGGUCUACCCUCUGUGCCUAAUAAACAGCAUGGUGGGCAUGAAGUGUUCAACAAAUGAAUAUAAACCAGAAACUCUACAAGGCAGACCACCCUACAUUUUGCAACCUAUCUGAUAACACUAAUCUUAUUUCACAAGGUUUAUUUUCAUAAGCUAAGUAAAAAUAUUUGUAUUGAAAAUCAAUCAUAAACACCCUCUCUCAUCUCCAGAUAGCAGACAAUAUUCUAGAACAUAGAUCUAUGUCUCCUGAUUCCUAGCAGAGCCCUGACUGCUUUGGGAUUGAAAGAGAAUGUCUGCAGAGAGUAUCUAAGUCAUUUCUUAAAAUAUUCAGCUGAGAGAGAGUCCCUCUCAGGAGAGAGAGAGAAAGUCUCCCUCUAGACGGAAGCUUAGCUGGUUACACCUGUGGAGCUGGACUGUGGCAUGUCAAGACCCAAGUCCACUUACUGUGUCACCUUGGACAAGUUGUUAACUUCCCUAAUCCUCAGUGCCCUCCUCUGUGAAAAUCCUUUGUAAAAAAAUAGAUGCCCACCUUAAAAGAGUGUCUAGAACAUGUGUUCAAUAAAUUUUAGAUGUUAUUGUUUUUA
Non-coding RNA from Equus caballus (horse), 4874 nucleotides. The record is from RefSeq and is a predicted model, not a curated record. Lineage: Eukaryota; Metazoa; Chordata; Mammalia; Perissodactyla; Equidae.